CGAAGAACCUUACCAGGUCUUGACAUCCCGAUGCUAUUUCUAGAGAUAGAAAGUUACUUCGGUACAUCGGUGACAGGUGGUGCAUGGUUGUCGUCAGCUCGUGUCGUGAGAUGUUGGUUAAGUCCCGCAACGAGCGCAACCCCUAUUGUUAGUUGCCAUCAUUCAGUUGGGCACUCUAGCGAGACUGCCGGUAAUAAACCGGAGGAAGGUGGGGAUGACGUCAAAUCAUCAUGCCCCUUAUGACCUGGGCUACACACGUGCUACAAUGGGCGGUACAAAGGGUCGCGAACCCGCGAGGGGGAGCCAAUCCCAAAAAAGCCGCUCUCAGUUCGGAUUGCAGGCUGCAACUCGCCUGCAUGAAGCCGGAAUCGCUAGUAAUCGCGGAUCAGCAUGCCGCGGUCGAAUACGUCCCCGGGCCUU
This 420-nucleotide ribosomal RNA is filed under the name uncultured Streptococcus sp. RNAcentral's name for it is "bacterial SSU rRNA". It matches the Rfam family "Bacterial small subunit ribosomal RNA", at positions 962 to 1382 of the family's 1533-position model. Lineage: Bacteria; Bacillati; Bacillota; Bacilli; Lactobacillales; Streptococcaceae. The record is from RNAcentral.